RNAcentral lists this long non-coding RNA (885 nucleotides) under Carassius auratus (goldfish). RNAcentral's name for it is "lncRNA (ENSCARG00000066239.1)". Lineage: Eukaryota; Metazoa; Chordata; Actinopteri; Cypriniformes; Cyprinidae. The record is from RNAcentral.
GACACUUGACUGGUUACUCGCCGCAGCAGUUUCUGGAUGAAAGGUGUCGAGCUCGUCAAGUACUAAGCUUUACACCCCCCAGCAGCAAAUUUACCCUGGCAGCAUAUGGGUGAAAACGCUGGAGGAGAAAGUCAUCGCUCUGUAAUUGGCCCUUGGACUCCCCUGGCAUCUCGUGUACAGCAUGAAGUUUUCAGCUAUGAAGAUUUCCAGAGAUUCCAGAAUGAAAAACAAGCCCUUAGGGAGGAGAACCAAGCCCUUAGGAAGGAGAACCAAGCCCUUAGGGAGGAGAACCAAGCUCUGAGGGAGGAGAACCAAGCUCUGAGGGAAAGCACUGCACGAGCAGCUUCGGAUGACAGCGGCUCACUUCAAGAGCAGGUGAAGCAAGUUGGGACAAUGUUGAAGACGUUUGCUCGCACUGGGCAAUCAGGUGCAGAUCAGACCUUAAUGCUGCGACGUCUUGGAGAGUUUGGCGAUGUUGUGCCUAGCAUGGACAACAAAAUGGACACUAUGCUGCAACAUUUCAGUGCCAAUGUGUCUGUUGGAGAGUUAUCCCUGCCAGGGGAUCUGUUACUCCCCCUAGACACCCAGGAAGAUUUGGCGUUGCUUGACAACAGUUUGAGGCAGGAUAAAGAGCUCCAGGAACGAUUUCUUCGGUUUUUGGCAAUCAAAUGUGGGAGGGACCUAAAGACAACCGUCUGGCGGAUGCUUCAAAGUAUCUUCUCUAAUCACCUUUCCAUCAAUACAACCUGGACUGGAGUUGGGGAUAAAGCAUGUUUUAGAGACAUGUUCCUGAAGACCAUUGUUCAAAGUAAGUUGGAUGUAAAAAAAAAAAAAAAAAAAAUGUUUAGUAGAUGUGUAUGGCAUUAUGCCAUUCAAAUGGAAUGA